GAUGAACGCUGGCGGCGUGCCUAAUACAUGCAAGUCGAGCGAACAGACGAGGAGCUUGCUCCUCUGACGUUAGCGGCGGACGGGUGAGUAACACGUGGAUAACCUACCUAUAAGACUGGGAUAACUUCGGGAAACCGGAGCUAAUACCGGAUAAUAUAUUGAACCGCAUGGUUCAAUAGUGAAAGACGGUUUUGCUGUCACUUAUAGAUGGAUCCGCGCCGCAUUAGCUAGUUGGUAAGGUAACGGCUUACCAAGGCAACGAUGCGUAGCCGACCUGAGAGGGUGUUCGGCCACACUGGAACUGGGACACGGUCCAGACUCCUACGGGAGGCAGCAGUAGGGAAUCUUCCGCAAUGGGCGAAAGCCUGACGGAGCAACGCCGCGUGAGUGAUGAAGGUCUUCGGAUCGUAAAACUCUGUUAUUAGGGAAGAACAAAUGUGUAAGUAACUAUGCACGUCUUGACGGUACCUAAUCAGAAAGCCACGGCUAACUACGUG
This 497-nucleotide ribosomal RNA is filed under the name uncultured bacterium. Its description in RNAcentral is "partial 16S ribosomal RNA". It matches the Rfam family "Bacterial small subunit ribosomal RNA", at positions 28 to 507 of the family's 1533-position model. The record is from RNAcentral.